AUAAAAAUCCUUUUUCCUCGAAAAUCGUGCAUCAAAUAUGAAAUCGCUAUGAACGGAGUCCGAUACGCGCCAGAAGCCAAUUCUCCUCAUCAGCCUCUCCGGAAAGCCGGAGUUACUAUUCAUUUUAAGUGAUUAGUAUUGAUCGCGUAACUUCUCUAUUCUAACUCGUUUUCUCCUGAAACUUGACGAGUGCUUAUGUAAUUAAAUUACACACAAAAAUAUCGUCAACAGAGAGUUUAGCUACACUGCCAAAACCUCAGUCCUUACACUACACUAACUCACCACUAAGCACACAUUAAAAUACACAUUAACUCACCCACUAUCACAUAGUAAUGAACCCUCAUGAAUA
This 349-nucleotide long non-coding RNA is filed under the name Ananas comosus (pineapple). Its description in RNAcentral is "long non-coding RNA (ACOM_LNC033431)". The record is from RNAcentral. Lineage: Eukaryota; Viridiplantae; Streptophyta; Magnoliopsida; Poales; Bromeliaceae.